GGAAAAUGAACGUGGAGUAAGAGCGCCAUCUAUCUGACUUUGUGAGGUAUAGACCCAAGGACCUUAAAGUUGAACAAAGGAUGUAGUUCAGUUUGUUUACCAGUGAUUCAACGCAGGUCCAGGGAGGAGAGGGCAUUGCCAAAGUACAAUUUGCUGAAUGUAAAUGGCAAUCAUUUUAAUACCUGGAGCCAUUUUAUUAUGUGCAAGUAGCGUGGAUUCACUGACCACUGCUUUGCAGAUUUGACGUGCGACAUCACAGUUCGAAAACGAUGGUCUUUCUUUUCCAAACACCCAAAAAUAGUUGGCUGCACUGGAUUGUUGUUAUACUGAAAUGCGUUACAACGCAUAAUUACAUAGUAUUUCUUAAGUUGCAAUUUGUUAAAUUAAAGAGAUGAAACUGUUAA
Long non-coding RNA from Xenopus tropicalis (tropical clawed frog), 404 nucleotides. RefSeq lists it as uncharacterized. The record is from RefSeq and is a predicted model, not a curated record. NCBI's taxonomy places the organism in Eukaryota, Metazoa, Chordata, Amphibia, Anura, Pipidae. The transcript is spliced from 3 exons.